This 1314-nucleotide ribosomal RNA is filed under the name Myzostoma sp. D MMS-2014. RNAcentral describes it as "SSU rRNA". It matches the Rfam family "Eukaryotic small subunit ribosomal RNA", at positions 439 to 1775 of the family's 1831-position model. Lineage: Eukaryota; Metazoa; Annelida; Myzostomida; Myzostomatidae. The record is from RNAcentral.
AAUUACCCAAUCCCGACACGGGGAGGUAGUGACAAGAAAUAUCGAUACGUGGGCUUCAUGCCUUCGUAAUUGGAAUGAGAACGCUAUAAACUCGCUAUCGAGUAUCAAUUGGAGGGCAAGUCUGGUGCCAGCAGCCGCGGUAAUUCCAGCUCCAAUAGCGUAUAUUAAAGUUGUUGCAGUUAAAAAGCUCGUAGUUGGAUCUCAGUGUGACGGCGCCGGUCCACUUCAAGUGGUACUGGCGCAUGUUAACCUUUCUCACGGAUAAGGUAGAUACUCUUUAUUGCGUGUCUAUCUUCUAUCCGCGACGUUUACUUUGAACAAAUUGGAGUGCUUCAAGCAGGCUUCUCGCCUGAACAUUUAUGCAUGGAAUAAUGAAAUAUGACCUGAUCAUAUUUUCGUUGGUUUGGUGCGAUCAGGUAAUGAUUGAGAGGGACAUACGGGGACAUUCGUAUUGUGGCGGGAGAGGUGAAAUUCUACGAUCGCUACAAGACGCACUAAUGCGAUGGCAGCUGUCAAGCGUGUUUCCAUCAAUCAAGAGCGAAAGUCAGAGGUUCGAAGACGAUUAGAUACCGACCUAGUUCUGACUGUAAACCAUGUCGGCUGGCGAUCUGCUGAUUAAUGAUAACGCAGACCAGUGGGCAGCCCUCGGGAAACCAAAGCUUUUGGAUUCCGGGGGAAGUAUGGUUGCAAAGCUGAAACUUAAAGGAAUUGACGGAAGGGCACCACCAGGAGUGGAGCCUGCGGCUUAAUUUGACUCAACACGUGGAAUCUCACCAGGUCCGGACAUAGUAAGGAUUGACAGAUUGAGAGCUCUUUCUCGAUUCUAUGGAUGGUGGUGCAUGGCCGUUCUUAGUUGGUGGAGCGAUUUGUCAGGUUAAUUCCGAUAACGAACGAGACUCUAGCCUGCAAACUAGAUACCCCUCACGUGGUGAGAGGGUAAACUUCUUUGAGGGACAAUCGGCAUUUAGUCGAACGAGAAAGAGCAAUAACAGGUCUGUGAUGCCCUUAGAUGUUCUGGGCCGCACGCGCGCUACACUGAAAGACACAACGGGUAUCUCACUUUGCUCGGAAGAGUUGAGUAACCCUGCAGCGUCUUUCGUGCCAGGGAUCGGGGAUUGCAAUUAUUUCCCGUGAACGAGGAAUUCCCAGUAAGCGCGAGUCAUCAGCUCGCGUUGAUUACGUCCCUGCCCUUUGUACACACCGCCCGUCGCUACUACCGAUUGGAUUAGUACGUGAGGAGUUUGGACCUAGCUGAAGUCCGGGGGUUUCGGCUCUUGGUUUCGGCCGGGAAAGAACGCCAAAUGUAUUUGUCUA